This 72-nucleotide transfer RNA is filed under the name Ictidomys tridecemlineatus (thirteen-lined ground squirrel). RNAcentral describes it as "Spermophilus tridecemlineatus (thirteen-lined ground squirrel) tRNA". It matches the Rfam family "tRNA". From Rfam's summary of the family: Transfer RNA (tRNA) molecules are approximately 80 nucleotides in length. Their secondary structure includes four short double-helical elements and three loops (D, anti-codon, and T loops). The record is from Rfam by way of RNAcentral. Lineage: Eukaryota; Metazoa; Chordata; Mammalia; Rodentia; Sciuridae.
UGGGGUGUAGCUCAGCAGUAGAGCGCUUGCCUCCUACACGUGAGGCACUGGGUUUGAUCCUCAGCACCACAU